RNAcentral lists this ribosomal RNA (253 nucleotides) under uncultured bacterium. RNAcentral describes it as "partial 16S ribosomal RNA". It matches the Rfam family "Bacterial small subunit ribosomal RNA", at positions 524 to 776 of the family's 1533-position model. The record is from RNAcentral.
UACGUAGGGACCGAGCGUUGUCCGGAUUCAUUGGGCGUAAAGAGCUCGUAGGCGGCUGUUCAAGUCGAACGUGAAAACUCGGAGCUCAACUCCGAGCCUGCGUUCGAUACUGGACGGCUAGAGUCCGGAAGAGGAGAGUGGAAUUCCUGGUGUAGCGGUGAAAUGCGCAGAUAUCAGGAAGAACACCAAUGGCGAAAGCAGCUCUCUGGGACGGUACUGACGCUGAGACGCGAAAGCGUGGGGAGCGAACAGG